AACAACCAGUGAGCUUGGAAGAGGACCCUGGACCCUAGUCUGACGUCCGAAAGGAAGCCUUGGUUUGGCAGGGGACUCCCUCCGUGACUUCAGACAAAGGAAGCCGUUGUCUGGCCUUCACGAAAUACUUUUUAUUAAAUACUUGGUUACUUGCUUACACAACAUAAGCUGAACUUUGGGAGCCCACCUGCAACACCAUCUUACUAAGAGACUGGUUCAAUGAGAUGGAACAACCUAUGCCCCUCAUCAACAGGAUAAUCCCUCAAGAUUGAGGAUGAACAACAAAAGGGGUGAUUUGACACCAG
Molecule: long non-coding RNA, 305 nt
Filed under: Equus asinus (donkey)
Lineage: Eukaryota; Metazoa; Chordata; Mammalia; Perissodactyla; Equidae
Description: lncRNA (ENSEASG00005029772.1)
Source: RNAcentral